UUGUCCACCUGGAAAGCCUUGGCGAGAACAUCGUCGGAGAUGGGUGGCUUAGACCCGAACACAGCGUCGGCGAUGGUGAUGGUGCCAGGGUUUUGGCUACUGAGAGCACCGAUGGCGACGGUGUUGGUGUGCCCAGGGUUGAACUGGAAGUGGAUGAGGCCUUGAGGGAACACAAACACAUCACCCUUCUUCAGCAUCUUGGUGAAGAGACGGUUGCCGUCCUCACCGUUGGAGGUGACGAAGCCGACGAAGAGCUGUCCUUCUAUGACGGUGACGAUCUCGGUGGCAGGAGGGUGAGUGUGGGGCGGGUUGAGGCCUUUGGGGACGUAGUCGAUGCGAACCAUGGAGAUACCGAGGGUAUUCAGUCCUGGAAUCUGGUUAACGUUGGCUGGCGUGACAUUGAACCCCAACUUGUUUCCUGUCUCGCCGGGCAUGUCGAGGCCAGACAGAGAGAAGUCGUCGGCUUUCACAACCUUGGAGUCCUUGCAGACGAAUCCAUUCACCUGCACUUGCAGCAGUAAGAAUAAAACUCGAUCAGUAAACGUGCAUCAGGAUAGCCAUGGGAACAUAAAAAGGUCCAAAUGGCAAAUAUUAUCAUCAUCGAAUAAGGUUGAUGAAGCAUGGUACCUUUUGUUGGGCUCAGCCCAAUAGGUGGGCUUGGACGGUUGAUUUGGGCAUUCAGUCCAAAUCUGAUUUAUUAAAAAAAUAAAAAUAUAUAAUUUUGAGGUUUUUGUUAGAAAAUCAAUCAGUUAAACUUCAUCGAUUUUAGUCUAAAUUUUAUAUGAAAAAUCCAUAAGUUUAAUGAUGUCGAUAUACAGUUUAUCCUCUUUGAGGUACUUUUCUGCUAUAUUUACUUGGUGAGACUUAAAAUUUUUCUUUCAUGAAAGACAUUUGAUGAUAUGUUAUUAUUGAACCAAGAUAUGUGUUUUUGAUAUUAUUAUGAUCCUCUAGAAAAGAUUUAUUAUAAACCUAUUAUCAUUAUUUAUCGGUGACGAUGGAAGUUUGAAGUAGACUUCGGUCUUACGAUUUUUUCUGGAUUGAAUUUUUCACGUAAAAUACUCGAUGUCUUAUUUUGUAAUUGAUUUAUUAUUCUACUGUUUAUGUUGCUCUAAUUAAAAUUUACUUUCAAUAAUAAAUUGAUAUUUUGAUGAAUAAUCUAUUUUGAUAAAAAAAAUUCACUAUAAUAAUUUUUCUCAACGGCUUUGGAGUUCAUAUCAGCGACGCAGAAGUCUUGAAGAGGACUAGGAUCAGAAGCCAAUGCAUGAGAGGCAGCCAAGGCAAGGAGAGCAAUGAGAAGGAUUUUGGCAGCCAUCCGUAGGCUUUAGGGUGGAUGAAGUUGCUUGGUGCUGUGAUACAAAUGGUUGAAGGAGAAUGAUACACAUGGAGAAGCAGUAGGCUCCGAGACGUUCUUGAUCAUUAGGUGAAAGAGUUGAAAUGUAUAACGUGUUGGGUGCCAUCUGCUUGCUGGGCAUGAAGCUUUUUGACAGAGUCGCAGUGAUUGCUUGCCUUCCUUGCUUAACACAAAAAGACUCGCUAUCCGACUCAUCAGAAUGGCCAACCAAAUCCACACCCAGUUCUCCAAGAUUGCAUAGUGUCCACUUGAUCUCGUCAACGUUAAUAUAUGUAUGUGUGUGUCGUCAGCAAUGACCGAGCUCUUCAUUAGGGCACGCUGAAGAAGUAAAUGAACGCAAGUGGUGGAUCCAUUGAAUGAACAAAAUAGUCCAAGCUAGAUUUCUAGGAUGACAUAACGCUACCAAAGUCGUGGGAAGUUUCGCAAAGAUGUCGGAGAUGGGUAUGAAAAGAACAUACUCGUAAUGGGACUAUUUGUAUAUCAGAUUAUGAACAGUUGAUCUCUGAAAUCUCAUCCCUCGUUAUACAACCUUGUUUGUCCUACAACUCGAGGUAAUAACUUUCCUAAGUUAUUUCGGGAUUUUUUUGGUAUUAUGAUUGUUGCGUAAAUUAACUUAUAAUUGAUGUAUUUUAGUAAAUAAAUCCACAUGAAUAUAUAAAGUUUACGAAGCUCAAAGAGGAUAGAGAUAACGUGGAUAAAAGUAUGCAUAUAAUAUGGAAUGUUGCACUCUAUGCUAUGAUCUUCCGGAGGGAGAUAGUUAAUUCGUAAAGCCUAUCAACUAUGCGAUAAUACGCUAAUAAAGAUACUCACGAAUUCUGAAACAUGACGCACUUCAUACGUGCUUUUCAUAACAUAGAAAGGCUGCUUAAUUCCAUUACAAUAGCAAAUGCAAACAGGUAGUCCACUGUUUGCUUAUUGACACCAAAACACAGGAGCUAAGAGUGCAGCUUAUUCAAUUCAUCCGACUAGUUUUUCUUCGCGAACUGAGCCUGAAGCCAGUCGAUGGUCUUCUUGUCCACUUGGAAAGCCUUGGCGAGGAUUUCAUCCGAGAUGGGGGGAUUCGACCCGAACACAGCAUCGGCGAUGGUGAUGGUGCCAGGGUUUUGGCUGCUGAGAGCACCGAUGGCGAAGGUGUUGGUGUGCCCAGGGUUGAACUGGAAGUGGAUGAGGCCUUGGGGGAACACAAACACAUCACCCUUCUUCAGCAUCUUGGUGAAGAGACGGUUGCCGUCGUCGCUGUUGGAUGUGACGAAGCCGACCAAGAGCUGUCCCUCUAUGACGGUGAGGAUCUCGGUGGCACGGGGGUGAGUGUGGGGCGGGUUGAGGCCAUUGGGGAUGUAGUCGAUGCGAACCAUGGAGAUGCCGAGGGUGUUGAGCCCUGGAAUCUGGAUCACGUUGGCAGGCGUGACAUUGAACCCGAAAUUGUUCUUUCCUGUAUCGCCGGGCAUGUCGAGGCCAGAAAGAGAGAAGUCGUCGGCUUUCACAACCAUGGGGUCCUUGCAGACGAAUCCAUUCACCCGCACUGCAACAGCAGAAGGAAGAAGCAAACUCGGUCGGUAAACAUGCAUCAGGAGAACAAACGCACCGAAGGAAAUUAAUCUGGAUACUAUGAAUACCUUUAGACAUCAUAUCUGCGACACAGAAGUCUUGAAGUUGGCUAGGAUCGGAAGCCAUUGCAAGAGAGGAAGCCAUGGCGAGGAGAACAAGGAGAAACAUUUCGGCGGCCAUCUGUAAUCUCUUAGAUGGAUGGGAUUACCUGGUGCCGUGAUACAGUGGCCUGGAAGAGACGGGUAUAUAUAGAGAAGCAGGCUCUGAAACAUUCAUGAUCAUUAGGUGAAGGAGAUGAAAAGUAUACCAUGUUAGGUUGCUUUCUUCUUGCAAUAUAUUUUCUAUAGCCGUCACCUCGUACGAGAUCCAUAUGAUGCACAGUAACCAUUAAAUUUGUUGACGUGUCUCAGUAACCUAAUCCAUGACCAUUUUAUAUGUAUAUAUAUAAUGAUGGAGCUUUUAGUUAGAUCAUGCUGUAGUGUAAAAUGGACUCUUACGUUCGACUGCAUAAUCCACCACGUGAGAUUUUUGUGACGACCUUACGCUACCAAACAAGAGGAGAAGUCAGCAAAGAUGUGGCAGCUGAACAGAACAAGCUAAGGACAGGUAGAAAGAACAAGAAGCCAAAGAUGUGAUUACCAAUUUGACCUUGUCGGGUCUUGUGUACUGCUACGGCUGAUACCGUGUAUUAUAAUUAAGGUGUUCUACGUCAUCUCCGACUAUUUUCAUCACACUGAGACGUCGCGUGCAUGUUGCAAAGAAGUAUGUAAAUACGUAAGUUCUUAAGAGAUUAUAAGUUGAUAUAAUGCUGUCCAAGAAUAGUAAGCAUGUUGAUAGUUGCCUCUACGUUAAACGCUUAUGGGAUCCUAAGUUAUUAAGAGAUCAUAAGAGAUUUUAAAAAUACUAAAUCUUCGUAUAUAGGUAUACAAGAAUAUUGUACGAUUUAGAUAAAAUCAAUUAUAUUCGUGAUAAAAAUCAAUGAGGUUAGGUGAGAUAAAAUAUUUUUUUUAAUUAAAUAUCUAAAGUAAAAUUAACAUAUCAACAUUACAUUGUUCACAUAAAAUUUAUAAUCAUAUUAUCUAUAAUACGAAAAAAAAAUUAUGUCAAAAUUUAAAAUCAAAUAAUAAUGGAUCUAAAUAAUAUUACGAUGCAUACCUUUCGUUGUUAUUUAGAAGAAUAAAUAUUAUCUGAUCUACAGGCGUAUCAUCGUCGGAUCUAAAUGAAAUACUUCUAUUUAGCCCUUAAGAUCAUAUCUAUUUAUAAACAAAAACAAAGAGUCUAAGAUAAGAUAUUAGAAGAAUUCCUCCCAUAAGGAUAUCCUUGGAAUCCUACUAUAAUAUGAAUUUUUUUUUUAUUAAUCAAUAAUCAUAAUCAGAAUUCAAUCAUAUCUAUAAUAUAUUUUACCUAAUUAAAUAUGACCACACAAUCUAACACUCAAUCAUAAAUCCACGAAUCAUAAAUCCAUAAAAAACCAGAAUUUUUGAACUCAUUUCAACCGAGUUCCCAAAAAGUUUAUUAAGUAAAUAAGAUAUUAUUAUGAAUACAAAACAUUUUAAAGUUUUAUAGAUGAUAAUUCUUUUCUAGAAGGUUCUGCCAGCGAGGAUGAAUAAAAAAAAAAGAAAAAUAUCGAUAUAAUAUUUGUAAUUUAUAUAAAUAUAAACAUUUUUCGUCCAUCCAACUCAGCGACCUCUCUGGCAAUCAGAAAGAUUUCAAUAACGAUCAAACAAAGGCUAAUCGAUUAUUUCAGUCAUCAGAUUUUGGUGGCAACGACAUGUUACCAAACACCAUAAAGAAGCUCUCAAAGUCCGACCACGAGACAAGACAAAGUUGCCAGUACGAAUCCGUCUCCGUUCUUCGACCUCGUUCCAUACUGUAUAUUACGAUCGAAGUGAACUGUGUCAUCUUCAACUAUUUCACCAUCACACUGUUUAUAUAUUAUUAUGGUCUAUUUGUGAUCACAACAUAAGAGUUCAAAUUCAUAAUUAUAUUUCAUUUUAGUAAAUGAAUAAAUUGGAGUGAUUGAUACCGCCGGUUAUAGGUGGAUGCAAUCGAGCCAUAUACUACUACUGAACUUUGUAGAUCCCAUGUCAUACAAGUCAAGACAAAAGCACUCCUUUCGGGAAUUCUUGGUGAUGACUUGUUGAAGUUAUGAUCGUGUAUACAAUAUCUCAUGUUUCAGUCAUAAUAUUUGCAUAAAUUGACUUAUUACCGGUAUAUUUUAGUAAAGUUGUCUGCAUAGAUAUAUAAAGUUCAUGAACCUGAGGGAGGAUAAACAUAAGGUGGAUAAAGAAGUAUGCAUAUAUAUAUAUAAUAUGAGAUAUUACACUUUUUGAGGAUGCUGCACUCCAUAUAAUCUAUAAUCUUCCAGGUGGGAAAUACUAUCAUAUGAUCUAAAUAUUGAAAUAUGACUCAUGGAUUUCUUUCUUAAAAAUCAAGUUUUAUUUAUUAUAUUUAAUGACGUGUUUAUAUGAAAUUUGCAACAGUACACCAAUCGUAUGUCAAUAGAGAUGACUCGAGAAUUCUGAAACAUGACACACUUCAUACGUACUUUUCAUAACAUAGAAAGGUCUCUUAAUUCCAUUACAAUAGCAAACGCAAACAGGUAGUCCACUGUUUGCUUAUUCACACCAAAACACACGAGCUAAGAGUGCAGCUUAAUUCAUUCCUCCGACUAGUUUUUCUUCGCGAACUGAGCCUGAAGCCAGUCGACAAGCUUCUUGUCCACUUGGAAAGCCUUGGCGAGGAUUUCAUCCGAGAUGGGGGGAUUCGCCCCGAACACAGCAUCGGCGAUUGUGAUGGUGCCGGGGUUUUGGCUACUGAGAGCACCGAUGGCGAAGGUGUUGGUGUACCCAGGGUUGAACUGGAAGUGGAUGAGGCCUUGAGGGAACACAAACACAUCACCCUUCUUCAGCAUCUUGGUGAAGAGGCGGUUGUCGGUGUUGGAUGUGACGAAGCCGACUAAGAGCUGUCCCUCUAUGACGGUGAGGAUCUCGGUGGCACGGGGGUGAGUGUGGGGCGGGUUGAGGCCUUUGGGGAUGUAGUCGAUGCGAACCAUGGAGAUGCCGAGGGUGUUGAGUCCUGGAAUCUGCAUCACGUUGGCAGGCGUGACAUUGAACCCGAACUUGUUUCCGGUAUCGCCAGGCAUGUCGAGGCCAGAAAGAGAGAAGUCGUCGGCUUUCACAACCAUGGGGUCCUUGCAGACGAACCCAUUCACCCGCACUGCAACAGCAGAAGGAAGAAGCAAACUCGGUCGGUAAACAUGCAUCAGGAGAACAAACGCACCGAAGGAAAUUAAUCUGGAUACUAUGAAUACCUUUAGAGUCCUUAUCUGCGACACAGAAGUCUUGAAGUUGACUAGGAUCAGAAGCCAUUGCCAGAGAGGAAGCCAUGGCGAGGAGAACAAGGAGAAACAUCUCGGUGGCCAUCUGUAAUCUCUUAGAUGGAUGGGAUUACUUGGGGCCUUGAUACAAUGGCCUGGAAGAGACGGGUAUAUAUAGAGAAGCAGGCUCUGAAACAUUCACGAUCAUUAGGUGAAGGAGAUGAAAAGUAUACCAUGUUAGGUUGCCUUCCUCUCGCGAUAAUAUUGUCUAUAGCCGUCUCCUCGUACGAGCUUCAUCUGAUGCAGGGUAACAAAUAGGUUUUUUGACGCUGUCUCAGUGAUUGCUUGAAUGCAUGCGUUCGCCGACAAAGAAAAAUAGUUCUUUAGUUUAAUGCAUCCAACCUAAUCCAUGACCACAUCGUAUACACAAUAAUGGAGCUUUUCAACCUAAUCCGAAAUCCACCGGGUGAGAUUUUGGUGACGACGUCAAGAUACCAAGCACGAUGAGAAGUUUGCAAACAUGUGGGAGAUCAGGUGAACAAGAGCAAGGUUGUGUCAAAAGAACAAGACAAUAGUGUGUCGUUGCCAAUUUGACUUCGUCUGAUGCCGUGUAUUAUGAUUCAAGGUAUUCUUUGUCAGUACAAAGUAUGUAUGUAUGUAUAGCAUGCACAUCAGUGGUGACACCUUCCUUCCUUAUUGCGAUACCCAAUAUGACUGACUUCAUAUAAUGUUAAUCUUAGUACUUGAGAGAUGAAAAGAAGGGAAAAGAAUAGAAGAGAAUAAUAUCAUAUUCAUAAAAAUUGAGAGAAUGGAAUUACAUAUAUUGGAUUUAGCACACAUCCCAACAAGAUUAACUUUUUGGGUUAAUUAGGUUACCGAUCUAUAUAAUUUUUACCCUGGCUAAGUUAAUUUAUCAUGAUCGAUUUCGACAAAUGAGUCAAAAAGAUUAAAGGAUACAGAUAUUAGUGGUAUUUUUUCACCUAAAUUAUUAGACCAACUUGAUUUAACUUGGAAAAAGACAAAAAAAAAAAGAUUUUGGAAACUGUUAUACUGCCUAAUUUUGAGUCAGUUCAAUCCUCUUGAAUCAGUUUCAAUUCUCUUGAUUGAAUUAUAGGUCAACUCUUUCUCUCUCUCUCUCUCUCAUUUGGGAAAGUGAGAUCAUUUGUAAUCAAGCAAAAUUUCUUGCUCUGAAUAAAUAAAAAAAACUAUAUAUAUCAAUAAAUCUAUACUAUUUUUUUAGUUUUUCAAUUGAACUAAAAUUCACUGUGUGAUUUUGUUAAACCAAAAAUACAUCUCUUAUGAUAGAAAUAGCAUUUGCUUCAUGUAAGGUCUUGAUUUCGUUAUUCUUCAAUUGAUGUGGGAUUUAUAUUUUGUAUCUUGUCUUAAAAUUCAUAUACUUGAUCUAAAAUUUAUGAUUUUAUUAUUAUCAUUAAUUUUCUUUAUCGAAAGAUUAGAGUACACGUUAAACUGCCUAACACGAAAUCAUAUGAUUUUGUGCAUUCAAAGUGGACCCAAAAGACAUCUCAGGAUAGAAAUAACAAUUGUUUGGAACGAAGCAAGAGACAUAUUCUAUCGCAAAAACAAUUGCAAAUAGUUAUCCACUGUUUGCUUAUUUAAAGCACAUAAUUUCAGCACGUCAUGUCAACUUGCAACAACGAAGCUUUCUAGUUGUUGUUGUCCAUCCAGAACUGAGCCUGAAGCCAGUCGAUGGUCUUCUUGUCCACCUGGAAAGCCUUGGCCAGAACAUCGUCAGAGAUGGGUGGCUUCGACCCGAACACAGCGUUAGCGAUGGUGAUCGUGCCGGGGUUUUGGCUACUAAGAGCACCGAUUGCGAUAGUGUUGCAGUUGCCGGGAUUGAACUGGAAGUGGAUGAGGCCCUCAGGGAACACAAACACAUCGCCCUUCUUCAGCAUCUUGGUGAAGAGACGGUUGUCGGUGUUGGAUGUGACGAAGCCGACCAAGAGCUGUCCUUCUAUGACGGUGAGGAUCUCGGUGGCACGGGGGUGAGUGUGGGGAGGGUUGAGGCCUUUGGGCCCGUAGUCGAUGCGAACCAUGGAGAUGCCGAGGGUGUUGAGUCCGAUGAGCUUGUUCACGUUGACGGCAGUGACCAUGGAGCCGAGCUUGUUUACCGUGUUGCCGGCUUUGUCGAGUCCCAUGAAGAAGAAGUCUUCGGCUGUCACGUGCUUGGGGUCUUUGCAGACGAAUCCAUUCACCAGCACU
Molecule: long non-coding RNA, 8438 nt
Filed under: Musa acuminata (dwarf banana)
Lineage: Eukaryota; Viridiplantae; Streptophyta; Magnoliopsida; Zingiberales; Musaceae
Description: long non-coding RNA (MACU_LNC002928)
Source: RNAcentral